RNAcentral lists this unclassified non-coding RNA (232 nucleotides) under plant metagenome. RNAcentral describes it as "partial contains small subunit ribosomal RNA, internal transcribed spacer 1, and 5.8S ribosomal RNA". The stretch from base 1 to 53 matches the Rfam family "Eukaryotic small subunit ribosomal RNA", at positions 1778 to 1831 of the family's 1831-position model. The record is from RNAcentral.
GGAAGUAAAGUCGUAACAAGGUUUCCGUAGGUGAACCUGCGGAAGGAUCAUUCAUAAUAAAGUGUUUUAUGGCACUUUUUAAAAAUCCAUAUCCACCUUGUGUGCAAUGUUAGAUCUCGUCAAUCUUGGCGAGAUUUUUAUACAUCAACUCAUUUUUUAACUAAUUUGUCUGAAAAAUAUUAUGAAUACUUAAUUCAAAAUACAACUUUCAACAACGGAUCUCUUGGCUCUC